Molecule: long non-coding RNA, 1050 nt
Organism: Triplophysa dalaica
Lineage: Eukaryota; Metazoa; Chordata; Actinopteri; Cypriniformes; Nemacheilidae
Exons: 3
Source: RefSeq, a predicted model, not a curated record
CCCAGAAAAGAAGAAGAGAGUAGACGACUGCAACAAGGCGAGGAGGGAGAACAGCGCAGGAGAUACGGACACUUCUCAAUCCCAAAUCGCGAGUCGAUGGGAAACGUCAGCAAUGGAAUAGAUCGCAUUCGCGUUUAUUUUCACAUUUUUCUUGGUUCAACUAAGUUUUAAAGUGGCAACUGUUUUUUAACUUGUGUUAGACAAACUCUCAGCCAUGUCAAGUCUGUAAGAAAGAAUUUAGAUAUUUUAGAAUUUAUUAUCCCCAAAAUCAAUGAAAUUCAUAAAACAAUUCUAUGUGAGUUUAUAUUUUGUGUAUAUUCUGUAUAAUCAAGCUUCGGCGCAAGUUCUGCCGGGAAGACUCAAUCAUACGUCACUUACUACGUAUGACCUAACCAAUCAUUACUCAACCAAUCAUCAUCUAACAUUUGGAGUAUAUAAGAUCGUCACUUACCCUUUAGUCUGUUUGUGUUCUCAGUUGAAGCAGACGACAUUCACGCGCUCUGUUCAGUUGUGAUUUAAGGAUGUUACAGGUGAUGGCUGUGACUACACGGCUAUUUGCUAAAUCACGCUCGAUUUAUUCGGCUGCGAUACGGCUCAUAUUGCCGCUUUUUAAACCAGAUAUUUUUCGGGAUUCAGUGAUUUCUAGUGCAUGGCAGACGUUUCAUUCAACACCAGUGUUGAAAAUCUGUCAAAGCGCAUCUCUGAGUUUAUAUGGAAGAUGCUGCCUAUAUGUAAAAGCGUGCAUAGGACACGAUCACAAGUGGUCUUGCGCAUAGCGCAUGUUUACAUCGGAACCGCUGAGGAGCGCUGGGAAAUGAACCUCCAACUUCAACCGGUGGGUAGAAAUUUCUUCAGUUCUUUGGGGGUUGGCCCAGCUCCAGGGGCAAAUUCUCAACUAUUAUCAGGGGUUGGUUGCGCCCCUGCCUUCAUCUUCAGGCAGGAAGUGAAGGAAUUCUUGACCCUCUAUGGACUAUGAGCUAUGGACAGGGCCUUUGCCAAAUAACUAUUACACACCUUGUCACUGAUCAGUUCUUUAAUAAAUGUUCAUUG